Molecule: long non-coding RNA, 1368 nt
Organism: Danaus plexippus (monarch butterfly)
Lineage: Eukaryota; Metazoa; Arthropoda; Insecta; Lepidoptera; Nymphalidae
Exons: 2
Source: RefSeq, a predicted model, not a curated record
UCGCCCACUCGACCCAGGUGCGUUGCAUAUCAGUCUUUCUUAUCAUUACACAAUUCUGUUGCACCAUUAACAUAUACAACACGGAAGUUUAACUUUAUUCGUUUCACAUCUCAAAUGCGUAAAUUCAAUUUUAACGUAUUUUGUAACGCCUUCGCACAAUGAAUCAUGUUAUUCCUGUUCCUCAUACUUUUGACUUGGAGCAAAACUUCUCACAUGUUGAUUUCAUCUUUGAUUAUAUUUAUUAUCCCUUUAAAUUAAUCAUGUAAUGAAAAUUUAUGUUCGCUUUGUUUAAACUAUCAGUCCAACUGUCAGAUAGAUUAUCUAUUUAACUUUGAUCGUGGAUCAUUGAAUAUAAAAACAAGAUUCGUAUCUAAACGUAAAUUCAGACACAGUAUUUGCAGGUCGAACGUUGCCAAAGUUUAUUUUUGUAACCGUCCUCACGCCUACGCAAAUUGCUUACACUCACUUGCUGUUAAAUUUAGAAUGUAGUCUGUACUCAGCUUAUUUCCAUACCCUCGACGUCAUCAUAGUCACAUCCAAGUUAUUGCAAAACAGUUCCGAAGGUUAAAGAGAUGGACGUCACUGGCUCUACAAUAAAUUCCCGCAUUAUCGCAAUUGCAUUUGGUGUUAUAUCUCCCAUCCUUAUCGCACUUGCGUAUCUCCGACGAUAAUCUGAGAUAACCAGCAACCGUUUACACUGAGGGGAGAUUUAAAAAUUAUUAUUUGUUUGGUUCCCCUAUUGCGAGCACAUAAAAGUACACCGGUAUUGCACACACUGGACACAACACAAGAAUCUAUUAGGAGCGUAAAGUAAAUGAUCAGGUAUUAUUUGUCAGCAUUAGACCACAAAUUCCUAGGCUAAUGUCAAAUUAUUCAAAGCAAGGAGGUUCAUACAAUCAAUUAUCAGCUUUAGGACCUUAACUAGAUAUGAAUCAAUACUUACUGGCUCGUAUAACGGACUUUGUCCUCAAAGAAUCCGUAAAUUACAAUCACAAACGGAUCUUACUUCAUACGAACAUAUCAGCUACUAAAAUUUAAUUGGAAUUUAAAAAAGUAAGGUGAAAAAACAUUCAAACAUCAAUUAAUAUAUUUAUAAAACACAUUACUUAAAACCAUAAUUGAUUGAUACAACCCUUUCGAAGAUAGCUCACUAGUAUUCGUCAUAGCCUUGUACUACCUCGCCAUUUUUUAUUCCUUGCUAGUUUUUUUUUUCCGUGUCUCCAUGCGUGUGUAAUUUAACUAUGAAUUCAAGAUGAACCUAUCUCUGGCUUUUAGAUUCUAACUACGUACCAAUUUCAUUUUAAUUUAAAAUAUUUUAACUGUGAAAGUAUUGCAAAUGUAAAGAUUAUAUUUAAAAAAAAACAUAAA